Molecule: ribosomal RNA, 386 nt
Filed under: uncultured prokaryote
Description: bacterial SSU rRNA
Rfam family: Archaeal small subunit ribosomal RNA
Source: RNAcentral
GCGCGAAAACUUUACAAUGCUGGCAACAGCGAUAAGGGAACCUCGAGUGCCAGGUUACAAAUCUGGCUGUCGAGAUGCCUAAAAAGCAUUUCAUAGCAAGGGCCGGGCAAGACCGGUGCCAGCCGCCGCGGUAACACCGGCGGCUCGAGUGGUAACCGUUAUUAUUGGGUCUAAAGGGUCUGUAGCCGGCCGGAUAAGUCUCUUGAGAAAUCUGGCAGCUUAACUGUCAGGCUUUCAGGAGAUACUGUCUGGCUCGAGGCCGGGAGAGGUGAGAGGUACUUCAGGGGUAGGGGUGAAAUCUUGUAAUCCUUGAAGGACCACGAGUGGCGAAGGCGUCUCACCAGAACGGACCUGACGGCAGGGGACGAAAGCUAGGGGCACGAACC